Molecule: long non-coding RNA, 578 nt
Organism: Malaclemys terrapin pileata
Lineage: Eukaryota; Metazoa; Chordata; Testudines; Emydidae
Exons: 4
Source: RefSeq, a predicted model, not a curated record
UGCUCUUGUUAAGAGCAAGCCCAUUUAACAGCGGCCUUAGGUACAAAGGGCCUUUAGAAGGCAACAGCUGGCACGAGUCCUGGAGAUCUGAAGGGAGGAGCCUAGCGGGAUCAAACAAGCCAUGGAAGCCCUGUCACAUGCACUGAUAUUUGAGGCAGCCGAACAGCUCACUCCACCUCAGGGAUUAAACACGACUGGUGCCUUCACCUCUCCCGCCUGGCAAGCUUGCGUGUGGCUCAGGCUCUGCAUCUGUACCACGCAAGGAGAUUCCUGCACUACAGGGAGAACAUGCCACCCUCUGAACACAGCUCAAGGGCCACCCCUUGGAACAGAGAAGAGUGGAGAGGGCCCAGAAUGAUUAAACCUGCCCUGGAUCCCAUCCAAGCCAGCGAUUUCCUCCUCACGCUCAACACUUCCUAUCUUAGCUGAAUGCAGCCUGGCCACCAGCUCUGAUUUCUUCUGAUCACCAGCUGCCAGCCCUCGCUGGGGGCACAGCUCUUCUGCCUGCUCCCGGGGGGGAGGGGCUCUGCAACCUCCUUUGCUCUGCCUGCCUUUUCUGUGCCUCUCCUCAGCUUGUA